Molecule: ribosomal RNA, 413 nt
Filed under: uncultured bacterium
Lineage: Bacteria
Description: bacterial SSU rRNA
Rfam family: Bacterial small subunit ribosomal RNA
Source: RNAcentral
GGGCCCGCACAAGCGGUGGAGCAUGUGGUUUAAUUCGAUGAUACGCGAGGAACCUUACCAGGGCUUAAAUGUAGGUUGCAUGAUCUAGAGAUAGAUCUUUCUUCGGACUACCUACAAGGUGCUGCAUGGUUGUCGUCAGCUCGUGCCGUGAGGUGUCAGGUUAAGUCCUAUAACGAGCGCAACCCCUGUCGUUAGUUACCAGCGAGUCAUGUCGGGAACUCUAACAAGACUGCCGGUGCAAACCGUGAGGAAGGUGGGGAUGACGUCAAAUCAUCACGGCCCUUACGUCCUGGGCUACACACGUGCUACAAUGGCCGGUACAGAGAGCAGCCACUACGCGAGUAGGAGCGAAUCUAUAAAACCGGUCUCAGUUCGGAUCGCAGUCUGCAACUCGACUGCGUGAAGCUGGAAUC